Long non-coding RNA from Artibeus jamaicensis (Jamaican fruit-eating bat), 2289 nucleotides. RefSeq lists it as uncharacterized. NCBI's taxonomy places the organism in Eukaryota, Metazoa, Chordata, Mammalia, Chiroptera, Phyllostomidae. The record is from RefSeq and is a predicted model, not a curated record. The transcript has 2 exons.
CUUCCGACGUCGUCGUCAUGGAAACUCAGACUGUGUGAACUGUGGUUUAAAGGGACCCUGGAGCACAACCCCUGUCCCGAACACCGUCCGGCCCACGGGAUGAAGGACGGCAGCCUGGAGGAGGCGGUGUCUGGGCGGAACCUUCAGAGCCAUUGCCGGAGGGAGCAAAGCUGAGGACUCGGGAAUCUGCGGCUGGAGCUUUGCAGGAGCUGAGGAGUCCCUGGGGCGGAUCUGGAGGCCCGUUUCAGACGCGUGAGUGCGAGGAGACCCGUCACUCUGAGAACCGGGGACCCAGUUGGCAUCCACCGGCCUCUACACAGCCCAGCAGGGGCGCAGAAGCCGUGACUCCAGGGAAGGAGCCCAGGCCCACGUCCUGCUGAGCCAGGUGGGGCUGCUCCACCCGCGGGCCUCCUGUCAGUUGUCUCCCAGGCACGGGAUGGAGACGCUCAUAUGUUCUCUGACCAAAGGCAAAGGCCCGGCUCGUGGCAUCCACUCUGCUCCUGCCCGUGGGGCGUUCGCGGGGCCGAGAACCCCAUCCCGGGCUCUGGGGACAGGGUCUUGGUGCAGCCCCGCCUGGGGGGUCCUGCGCCCCAGGGCGCCACACGCGGGGCCGCGCCCACGUGCUCAAAGGGAGCCCGCGGACUCCGGAGCUCGGCUCUGCCCAGAUGCAGUGCACUGCCUCCUGCUUGCCCCACCCCCAGCACCUCUUCUCGCAGUUGUCCCCCCUUUUCUCCCCAGAGCCCACUCCUGUUCCUGCGCUGCCCCUAACUGCCCAUAGCGUCCAGGAAACAGUCCUCGCCUCCUAGGCCCACUUCCGACUCCAGCCCUGCCCCUGCGGGCAGGCACUGCUAGGCAGCGAUUGCCCCUCACCUCUCCUGUCCCCUUUCCAGGGUCCUGUACUUGGGCCCCUCCUCCACUGCACCCCAUACUAGGUGGCCACGGCUGUGAAGACCAGGCAGCAGCUCCAGGUCCCCUGAACAUGUGUCCCCGCCCUAAGAACAGGCUUCUCAGAAUCAGGAGUGCAGAGCUGACCUGACUCCAGCCUCGGUCUGUGCCCCUACUCCCAUCAAGACGGAGCUCAGUCCAGGCAGGGGCUCUGGCUGGCCUACAGCAGCCCAGACCCAGGCCACUGCCCCCGUCCACCUGCCCUUGCUGGGCUCCUCCUGCUCCCCCUCCAGCCCGUAGGACAACCAGGACUUUUUCUUGUAGCUCCUUUUUCAAAUUGUCACAUACACACAUGCAUUUAAAAUGUGCCAUGCAGGGGACACGCAGUGUGGGCAGCCACCCCUGCCUUCACCUGUGGGGUUUUUCUGUCCCCCCACACUGGCACUCCAUCCCCGACAAACUCCCCGCCUGCCCCAGCCCGACCCCCAACCUCCCCCAUCUCCCCAGGAUCCUACUCCUCUGAGCGUCUCGCGAGUGGGGUCGCUGUGCCUGGCAACUCCACCCGCCCAUGUCCUGCAGACCACCCACGUGGCGGCUACAGCAGGACCCCCUCCUUUUGAAGGCUGCGUGACAUCCAUUGUGUGGACAGAUGCGGUUGCUUAUCCACCUGCCCUUACAUGGCACUCGGGUUGUGUCCUCAGCUCUCACCUUGGGACCGUGCGCCUCAGCAAACUCGCCAACUCUUGGUUGUGCCCAGAGUUCCCGGGGCGGCUCUGCCGCCCGACAGCUGACAGCUCUUCAGACGCCAUGUGUGGUUGCAGCUGGGCAGAGUGACCCUGCAUCUCCUGGGGGCCUGCCCUCUUUGUUGCUGGUGAGGCAGUGGGAGGGGUGCACUGGUCUGGGUGGUGUCCCUCAGAGGCCAGGCCCUGGAGGGGGCGUGGGGUCUGCCAGACAGACCUGUGAGCACAGGACUGCUGGGACCAGGUGAGCAGACGGCAGUGCCCGCCCAGGGGGCGGGGCACAGAGAGGGGCCGCUGCAGGGGACCUGGAGGUGGGAGUGUGGGACACACGGCCGGACCCAGAGCUCUGUGUCUCCAAGUCAGGGUGCACCAGCUCCGCCUGGCCUCCUCCUCCAAGUCCUGAGCCAGGCACCCUCCAGGGGCAGGCUGGGCUCCAGAGGGGCAGCCGGAUGGUCCCCCUCAAGGAUGGAGGUGCAGCACUGCCUAUGGUCUGCAGCCCGCAGGGCUCUGCUUCCAAAUUUGUCCCAGGUUGUGGGUGUUUCAAGUGGAAGAUGGUAUAGACUGUGAUAAACCACUAAGAACAGCCCGGAGUGAGUGACUCUUCAAUUAAUACACGUGAUAAAAUAAUAAAGGAAAACCAAAAGAUACAAAUGGAGGAAACGGA